This 70-nucleotide transfer RNA is filed under the name Acanthosepion pharaonis. RNAcentral's name for it is "Sepia pharaonis tRNA-Leu". The record is from RNAcentral. Lineage: Eukaryota; Metazoa; Mollusca; Cephalopoda; Sepiida; Sepiidae.
UAUAAAGUAAGAAUUAGUAAAUUUCUUAUUAAAUAACCCUAAAUUAUUCACAUAUAUCUGCCAACUUUAU